RNAcentral lists this ribosomal RNA (253 nucleotides) under uncultured bacterium. RNAcentral's name for it is "partial 16S ribosomal RNA". It matches the Rfam family "Bacterial small subunit ribosomal RNA", at positions 524 to 776 of the family's 1533-position model. The record is from RNAcentral.
UACAGAGGUGGCAAGCGUUGUUCGGAAUUACUGGGCGUAAAGGGCGCGUAGGCGGUCCCGUCAGUCCCUUGUGAAAUCCCCCGGCUCAACUGGGGAACUGCAAGGGAUACAGCGGGGCUUGAGUUCGGGAGAGGGAAGCGGAAUUCCUAGUGUAGCGGUGAAAUGCGCAGACAUUAGGAAGAACACCGGUGGCGAAGGCGGCUCUCUGGAACGGUACUGACGCUGAGACGCGAAAGCGUGGGGAGCGAACAGG